Hydra vulgaris (swiftwater hydra) is the source of this 232-nucleotide long non-coding RNA. RefSeq lists it as uncharacterized. The record is from RefSeq and is a predicted model, not a curated record. Lineage: Eukaryota; Metazoa; Cnidaria; Hydrozoa; Anthoathecata; Hydridae.
AAGAUAUGCUGGUAUUAUUGGCACAACGGACAAGCAUUAAAGUCCAACUUGGUGAACUACAAAAUACAUCAAACUCAGUUAUAAAAAUUUGAGUAACAAAGGUAUGCUAAUUAUUGUAUUGCCUGAAAGAGUGCCAUUAAAAGCAGUAAAGAAUUCAAGUACUCUGGAAGAAAAAAGACAAGAAAAUACUUUAGUAAAUGGUUAAUUAUUUGGCACAAAUUGGAGUUAAAAA